This is a non-coding RNA of Cucurbita pepo subsp. pepo (vegetable marrow), 339 nucleotides long. Lineage: Eukaryota; Viridiplantae; Streptophyta; Magnoliopsida; Cucurbitales; Cucurbitaceae. The record is from RefSeq and is a predicted model, not a curated record.
CUUUGGUCAAGCUUGCAAAGCCGAGGCCAUAGAUACUUCUGGAUUGACUCCAGCACUGGGUACCUGGGAGGAGCAGCAAGAAAAGCUUCAAAGAUUGAUUUUACUAUUCCGUGGCAAUGACGUGCGUUCUGUAGAGGCUUGUCAUACUCACAAUUCUAGAAGAUGCAACUGUAGGGAUUCUGGUAGCGGUUGAAGGGGUACCCAUCCCAGUCGGACAGCUAUACGUCCAACAUUUGUGUCAACCUGUUAAAGGUAUGCAGCCUCCACUGAGACGACCCCUCAUAGAGCUGGACUCCAAUUCAACUUGAUAGCUAGAGCCAGAGUCGAACAGGUCGCUUG